This is an unclassified non-coding RNA of Pan troglodytes (chimpanzee), 111 nucleotides long. It matches the Rfam family "Y RNA". Rfam says of the family: Y RNAs are components of the Ro ribonucleoprotein particle (Ro RNP), in association with Ro60 and La proteins. The Y RNAs and Ro60 and La proteins are well conserved, but the function of the Ro RNP is not known. In humans the RNA component can be one of four small RNAs -- hY1, hY3, hY4 and hY5. The record is from Ensembl. Lineage: Eukaryota; Metazoa; Chordata; Mammalia; Primates; Hominidae.
GGCCAGUCAUAAGGUAGUGAGUUAUCUCAAUUGAUUGUUCACAUCAGUUACAGGUCAAACUCCUUGCUCUACUCUUUCCCUUUUCUCGCUGCUGCACUGGACUAGUCUAAU